UAUGGCAAAUGAUGAAUAUAUCUUAUCCUACACACUGAUUAACCGUGUUGAUUACAACUCCGCUUAUUGUCUGAUGCCAUU
Molecule: small nucleolar RNA, 81 nt
Organism: Cornus florida
Lineage: Eukaryota; Viridiplantae; Streptophyta; Magnoliopsida; Cornales; Cornaceae
Product: small nucleolar RNA R16
Exons: 1
Source: RefSeq, a predicted model, not a curated record